This 402-nucleotide ribosomal RNA is filed under the name uncultured Eubacteriales bacterium. Its description in RNAcentral is "uncultured Clostridiales bacterium partial 16S ribosomal RNA". It matches the Rfam family "Bacterial small subunit ribosomal RNA", at positions 355 to 774 of the family's 1533-position model. Lineage: Bacteria; Bacillati; Bacillota; Clostridia; Eubacteriales. The record is from RNAcentral.
UGGGGGAUAUUGGUCAAUGGGGGAAACCCUGAACCAGCAAUGCCGCGUGAAGGAAGACGGUCUUCGGAUUGUAAACUUUUGUUGUCGAGGAAGAUAAUGACGGUACUCGACGAGGAAGCCACGGCUAACUACGUGCCAGCAGCCGCGGUAAUACGUAGGUGGCAAGCGUUGUCCGGAUUUACUGGGUGUAAAGGGUGCGUAGGCGGGUAAUAAAGUCAGAUGUGAAAUGCCGAAGCUUAACUUCGGAGCUGCAUUUGAAACUUAUUAUCUUGAGUGAGGUAGAGGCAAGCGGAAUUCCUAGUGUAGCGGUGAAAUGCGUAGAUAUUAGGAGGAACACCAGUGGCGAAGGCGGCUUGCUGGGCCUUAACUGACGCUGAGGCACGAAAGCAUGGGGAGCAAACA